AUUGCUUCUUGGCCUUUUGGCUGAGAUCAAGUGAAGUAUCUGUGCUUAUCAGUUUAAUAUCGGAUAUGUCAUCUAUCCGAGGACAAUAUAUUAAAUGGAUUUUUGGAGCUGGGAUUUGGAAUUGGAGCUUGCUUCAUCUACUCCACGCAUCGACCUGGUGUUGUCGUACCUCCAGGACCGGUGCAUCCCUU
Molecule: small nuclear RNA, 191 nt
Organism: Perognathus longimembris pacificus (Pacific pocket mouse)
Lineage: Eukaryota; Metazoa; Chordata; Mammalia; Rodentia; Heteromyidae
Product: U2 spliceosomal RNA
Exons: 1
Source: RefSeq, a predicted model, not a curated record